CUUCCACCAUUAAUCAUUGCCCGACCUUAAGCAAGCCCCUGGGUCUCUUUCUUCAUCUGCAAUGUGACAAGAUAACUCGUGUUGUAAAGAGAUUGAAGCGGAAAGGGAGUUUGGCUGUGAGAUCACUAUAGGAUCUUACCAUCACAUUCUGAUGGGUAGCCCUGAGCAAUGAGAAUUGACAACUCUGGUAUCAUCUCUGUGACAUCCUCGACCAACAACUUGAGAGCAAGGUGUCCUACAUCUAACUCUGGACUUUUUGAGAACUUGUAGCCAAUGGAAGGAGAAUUACCCACCUUGUAACGUUCGUUCUGAACACUUUCCAGGCCGUUCUGGCAUCCGAUGAAUGUGAUUCCUAUGCCCUCUUUCUCUAUCCUGCCAAUGGUCUUCAGUUUUUGGAACUCACCCCAAAGAAUCCUACAGUGUCCAGCUGCAGUUUCCUGCUAAGGUGGGAUUCUGCCAAGGGGAAGCAGAUGACGUGAAGAGAAAAGCCCUGUAUUUCAGCCUGACUAACAGUGAGCAGUCGGUGAAGAAUCUCUACCCGCUUUGAAGCUGUCCACUUCCAAACUCAAGAGGUUUCCCAGGGGCUGGAGAGAUGGCUCAGCGGUUAAGAGCACCUGACUACUCUUCCAGAGG
Molecule: long non-coding RNA, 633 nt
Organism: Rattus norvegicus (Norway rat)
Lineage: Eukaryota; Metazoa; Chordata; Mammalia; Rodentia; Muridae
Source: Ensembl